GGGCCCGUAGCUCAGCCUGGUAGAGCGGCGGGCUCUUAACCCGUAGGUCCCGGGUUCAAAUCCCGGCGGGCCCGCCA
This 77-nucleotide transfer RNA is filed under the name Aeropyrum pernix K1. RNAcentral's name for it is "tRNA-Lys (CTT) (tRNA-Lys-CTT-1-1)". It matches the Rfam family "tRNA". From Rfam's summary of the family: Transfer RNA (tRNA) molecules are approximately 80 nucleotides in length. Their secondary structure includes four short double-helical elements and three loops (D, anti-codon, and T loops). Lineage: Archaea; Thermoproteati; Thermoproteota; Thermoprotei; Acidilobales; Acidilobaceae. The record is from RNAcentral. RNAcentral also lists the same sequence under 8 other names.